RNAcentral lists this ribosomal RNA (253 nucleotides) under uncultured bacterium. RNAcentral describes it as "partial 16S ribosomal RNA". It matches the Rfam family "Bacterial small subunit ribosomal RNA", at positions 524 to 776 of the family's 1533-position model. The record is from RNAcentral.
UACGUAGGGGGCAAGCGUUAUCCGGAUUUACUGGGUGUAAAGGGAGCGUAGACGGCAUGGCAAGUCAGAUGUGAAAGCCCGGGGCUCAACCCCGGGACUGCAUUUGAAACUGUCAGGCUGGAGUGCAGGAGAGGUAAGCGGAAUUCCUAGUGUAGCGGUGAGAUGCGUAGAUAUUAGGAGGAACACCAGUGGCGAAGGCGGCUUACUGGACUGUAACUGACGUUGAGGCUCGAAAGCGUGGGGAGCAAACAGG